RNAcentral lists this ribosomal RNA (506 nucleotides) under uncultured bacterium. RNAcentral describes it as "partial 16S ribosomal RNA". It matches the Rfam family "Bacterial small subunit ribosomal RNA", at positions 30 to 523 of the family's 1533-position model. The record is from RNAcentral.
AUUGAACGCUGGCGGCAUGCCUUACACAUGCAAGUCGAACGGCAGCAUGAUCUAGCUUGCUAGAUUGACGGCGAGUGGCGAACGGGUGAGUAAUACAUCGGAACGUGCCCUGUAGUGGGGGAUAACUAGUCGAAAGAUUAGCUAAUACCGCAUACGACCUGAGGGUGAAAGUGGGGGACCGCAAGGCCUCAUGCUAUAGGAGCGGCCGAUGUCUGAUUAGCUAGUUGGUGAGGUAAAGGCUCACCAAGGCGACGAUCAGUAGCUGGUCUGAGAGGACGAUCAGCCACACUGGGACUGAGACACGGCCCAGACUCCUACGGGAGGCAGCAGUGGGGAAUUUUGGACAAUGGGCGAAAGCCUGAUCCAGCAAUGCCGCGUGUGUGAAGAAGGCCUUCGGGUUGUAAAGCACUUUUGUCCGGAAAGAAAUGGCUCUGGUUAAUACCUGGGGUCGAUGACGGUACCGGAAGAAUAAGGACCGGCUAACUACGUGCCAGCAGCCGCGGUAA